UUGCCGGCCGCCGGCUGGGGAGGUCUUGCCGGGCCGGAGAGACCGGGACAGCGGGACUGGUGGAGCCGUGGAGCGUGGACUUGGAGGCGGGGCGGGACUGGGGCGCCGGAUGCGGAGCCGCGGAGACAUGGAGGCGGAGCGCCGGAGGCCUGGAGGCGGCUCAGGCAGGACCAGGACGCCGGAGGCGGAGGCUGGACGCCUGGACCGGGAUGUCGCCCGGAGGCGGAGGCUGGACCGCGAU
RNAcentral lists this long non-coding RNA (241 nucleotides) under Elaeis guineensis (African oil palm). Its description in RNAcentral is "long non-coding RNA (EGUI_LNC073766)". Lineage: Eukaryota; Viridiplantae; Streptophyta; Magnoliopsida; Arecales; Arecaceae. The record is from RNAcentral.